AAAGUCGUAACAAGGUUUCCGUAGGUGAACCUGCGGAAGGAUCAUUAAAAAUGAACAAACAAAAACACUGUGCACCAAAAUACAAACUAGUCAUAUUACAGUUUAUAAUAUAUAAUUAUACAACUUUUAGCAACGGAUCUCUAGGUUCUC
Molecule: unclassified non-coding RNA, 150 nt
Filed under: Basidiomycota sp.
Lineage: Eukaryota; Fungi; Basidiomycota
Description: partial contains small subunit ribosomal RNA, internal transcribed spacer 1, and 5.8S ribosomal RNA
Rfam family: Eukaryotic small subunit ribosomal RNA (bases 1-47)
Source: RNAcentral